GGUUAAGUUAUGAAGGGCGCACGGUGGAUGCCUUGGCACUAGGAGCCGAUGAAGGACGGUACUAACACCGAUAUGCUUCGGGGAGCUGUAAGUAAGCAUUGAUCCGAAGAUUUCCGAAUGGGGAAACCCACUGCUCGUAAUGGGGCAGUAUCCUUACCUGAAUACAUAGGGUAAGAGAAGGUAGACCCGGGGAACUGAAACAUCUUAGUACCCGGAGGAAGAGAAAGCAAACGCGAUUUCCUGAGUAGCGGCGAGCGAAACGGAAGAUAGCCCAAACCAAGAGGCUUGCCUCUUGGGGUUGUAGGACACUCUAUACGGAGUUACAAAAGAGCGAAGUAGACGAAGCGACCUGGAAAGGUCCGUCAGAGAAGGUAACAACCCUGUAGUCGAAACUUCGUUCUCUCUUGAGUGGAUCCUGAGUACGGCGGGACACGUGAAAUCCCGUCGGAAGCUGGGAGGACCAUCUCCCAAGGCUAAAUACUCCCUAGUGACCGAUAGUGAACCAGUACCGUGAGGGAAAGGUGAAAAGCACCCCGGGAGGGGAGUGAAAUAGAACCUGAAACCGUGUGCCUACAAGUAGUCAAAGCACAUUUAUGUGUGAUGGCGUGCCUUUUGUAGAAUGAACCGGCGAGUUACGAUCCCGUGCAAGGUUAAGUUGAAGAGACGGAGCCGCAGCGAAAGCGAGUCUGAAUAGGGCGA
This 699-nucleotide ribosomal RNA is filed under the name Ferdinandcohnia sp. QZ13. RNAcentral's name for it is "Fredinandcohnia sp. QZ13 partial 23S ribosomal RNA". It matches the Rfam family "Bacterial large subunit ribosomal RNA", at positions 1 to 695 of the family's 2925-position model. The record is from RNAcentral. Lineage: Bacteria; Bacillati; Bacillota; Bacilli; Caryophanales; Bacillaceae.